This 862-nucleotide long non-coding RNA is filed under the name Danio rerio (zebrafish). Its description in RNAcentral is "lncRNA si:ch73-212p10.1 (ENSDARG00000098462.3)". Lineage: Eukaryota; Metazoa; Chordata; Actinopteri; Cypriniformes; Danionidae. The record is from RNAcentral.
CCAGCACUAGGUCCAUGGAGAUUCAAGGAAUCGACUCUAUUGGAGUCGAUUCCCUAAUCUACGGCACUCAAUCUGGCUGUCAACAAAGCUGCUCAUGCGGCCGUUUUCGCCAAUUUCAGCUCAAAAGGAGCCCAAAUGUUCUAGAGCUGCUGAACAUCUUUAUAUGGGUCACCACAGUGGAAUGAACCGGCAACUUACCCAGCAUGUUUUACAAAGUGGAUACCCUUUCUGCUGCACCCAGGAUAAUUCUGGGGCAAGUUCGAUGUUUCCCAUGUUUUAAGAGCGGCAAACCAAUCUGGUUCUAGCACUGCAAUGGCAUGGAUUUUGCUGAUGGGACUACUUGACAUAGAUACGCUCUAACAGAUCAAUUUGAGAGGUGGAGAAUUAAAAGUUGCAAAAGGAGAGCAAUGUCAAGCCCUUGAUGGUGAAAGUCAAGGCAAUCACUGGAAGAGGCAGUUUCCUGGCACUGAUGACGACGCUGAUCCUGCAGUGUUUGGGUCUCAGGACAGACUCUGGAUCAGGCUCUGGUUCUGGAUCAGUUAGAUAAGACCUUGCUGCUUUCUGUGUGAAGUCCAUACAGAGAAAAACACAAGAGGAAAUAUAAAAACAUGUCUGGCAUUUGUCUAGCGCAUAUUUAUAUGACAUGAGAAGCAUCCCAGCGGGCACCUUGAUGACAAAACUACAUCAGAAACAGCAUAAAAAUGCAGAUCGAUUUAUGUCAGCUGAUUAACUUGACGUGUUUUUGACGCCAGUGUUAGAUUUCAAUUUGAUGUCGUUUAGACGUCAAGCUAGUUUACAUGCAUUGUAGAGAUAUUUGUAAUUUGUUCUUGAAGCUUUCAGAUAAAUAAAACAUUUCUUAUAA